GCGGUAUAGCUCAGUUGGCUAGAGCAUUCGGUUCAUACCCGAAAGGUCGUGGGUUCAAAUCCAACUGCCG
Molecule: transfer RNA, 70 nt
Filed under: human gut metagenome
Rfam family: tRNA
About the family: Transfer RNA (tRNA) molecules are approximately 80 nucleotides in length. Their secondary structure includes four short double-helical elements and three loops (D, anti-codon, and T loops).
Source: RNAcentral